Molecule: ribosomal RNA, 372 nt
Filed under: uncultured bacterium
Lineage: Bacteria
Description: bacterial SSU rRNA
Rfam family: Bacterial small subunit ribosomal RNA
Source: RNAcentral
UACGGAGGGUGCAAGCGUUAUCCGGAUUUAUUGGGUUUAAAGGGUGCGUAGGCGGUCAAUUAAGUCAGCGGUGAAAGUUUUCAGCUUAACUGGAAAAAUGCCGUUGAUACUGAUAGGCUAGAAUAUGGUUGCUGUGGGUGGAAUGUGUGGUGUAGCGGUGAAAUGCUUAGAUAUCACACAGAAUAUCAAUUGCGAAGGCAGCUCACAAAGCCAUUAUUGACGCUGAGGCACGAAAGUGUGGGGAUCAAACAGGAUUAGAUACCCUGGUAGUCCACACCGUAAACGAUGAUAACUCGCUGUCGGCGAUAAACAGUCGGUAGCCAAGCGAAAGCGAUAAGUGAUCCACCUGGGGAGUACGACCGCAAGGUUGAA